This 1122-nucleotide long non-coding RNA is filed under the name Marmota monax (woodchuck). The record is from RNAcentral. Lineage: Eukaryota; Metazoa; Chordata; Mammalia; Rodentia; Sciuridae.
UGCUGACUGAGGACUUGCCAGCUUCCCCCGUGGGUCAGGAAACCCAAGGUGGCUGCUUGGUCUGAGCCUUUGUGUCCUCAGGAGUUCAUGGUGGCUUGGUCCUGGUGCAGUUGGGAGGAGUGUGACCUCGGGAGGCGUGGGGCACCAGGGCUCUGCCCUCACAGAUGGCACUGGCACCCUUACACAGGGUUUGUCUCUUCCACCAUGUGACAACACUGCAUCUGCCCUCUGAAGACACAGCAGCAGGUGCCCUCACCAGACACGACCAGCCAGUGCCUUGACUUUGGAGUUCCAGCCUCCAGACUGUGAGAAAUAAGUUUCUGUUGUUUCCAGGUCACCCUGUCUGUGGCGUCCUGUGGUGGCAGCAGGAGUGGACUGCCACCCUGGAGCUGCUUCUGCUGGCGGCUCAUUUCUCUCUCGGGGCAGGUUGGCAGGUGGUCAGCGCCCAUCCGUCUAUCCAGGGCCAGUCCCACCUUCCUGGCUGCUCCUCGGUGUGAGUCUUGCUGUCAGAACUGGCACUGGGCCAUCAGGUCAUAGUCAGGUGGGGACUGGGGAGGUGCAAGGGGCCCGGUGGGGUCUCUCAGGGAGGCUCCCCACAUCUGGGGAGACAAGCCCAGCCACUGCAGUCAGCUCUUAGGCUCCACAUGUCCGGUGCCAGGGCUGCUCUUUGGGUGCUUCUGUGCCCAGGUGGAAUGGAGAAGGGAGCCAUCCUGGCACCAGUGCCAGCUUCUGGAAGGUUUCCGAGGCUUCUUACCAUGUUCUUCCAAAGAAUCACGCUGAUGUGCAUAUGCAGCAGCCAACGUGCUCCACCUCCCUGGCCACACUUGGUGGUCACAGGCUGCAGGCUCCUGCUGCCCGAGGGGUGGAGUCCAGGGACCGGUUAGACUGGCACCUCCCUGCUGUUCGAGGGGUGGAGCAACUUCUCCCGUCUUCCCAGGACAUUCCUUUUCCAAGGUUCUUGGUGCAAACUCGUUCUCUUACUCAGUGCUUUCCCCACAGAUUUGGAGGAAGGCUGUCUGUGGAUUACUGUCCCGUGGCCCCUUUCUAUUCUUUAAAUAGAUCUCAGGUGCACAGAACCAGAGGCAUUGGGACCAUGCAGGGUGGACUGUUUUUCAAUAUUUG